AGCCCGUCACCUUGCAACGGAUGGUGUAGGGCUUGCCGAUCUUGUUCCCCUAGUAACCUCUGCGCAUGGGGACAAUGGAGAGCUAGGCCAGGAUGAUGGCCCUGUGGAUGGCAGUGGCCACCUCCUUGGAGCACUUAACACCCAGACCGACGUGACCGUUGUAGCCCGCAAUGGCCACAAACGCCUUGAACCUGGUUCGCUGGCCGGCUCCGGUCUGCUUCUGCACCGGCAUAAUCUUCAAAACCUAGGCCUCGAGAGAGGCCCCCCAGGAAAAAAUCAAUGAUCUCAGAUUCCGUGAUGGGCAGGGAGAAGAGACAGAUCUCCUCCAGGGAAGUGAUCUUCAUGUGCUUGACCAGGCAGCCCAGCUUGCUGACGGGCAUCCACUCCUUAUCCUUGGCCUUGCCUCCGCGAGCUCCGUGGCUUCGGCCCCAGCCUGGUCCACGGCAGUGACCCCGGCCUCGGAUGCCACUGCCGAAACCUCCACGGAAGCCACCAUGGUUCCCCAUCCCAGGGCCCCGGGGCCUCCGGGACUCCCCCCGCAACCCAAUGCCGGCUGCGCCGGCGUCAUCCGCCAUUUGGUGUUUUCUCGGAGAAGAAGCUACAUGUGGAAUAUAUUAACGCAACAAAUUGUGCGUACUUGCUAGACAUUAGGCAUGAUAGCAAGUGCUAGGGUUACAAAGUAUUGCUUUUUGGGGAACCCAUGGUUGUUGGGGAGAAACCAGAAGAUCAGUCAUCACAGUGCGGCAAGAUCAGACUUGUGGUUUGUUCAGGUUCUGGGAGCCGUCACUGCAGUGAGAAUGGACCCCACAAUGUCUCAUAAGGGGAUCUGCAAGGCAGCCCUAAAUUCCAAGCAGGACAUGUAACUCCUCAAUGGACAAAUGGACACUGGACCCUGGUUGAAGGAACCUGUUGUUCUUAUGGUGGAGGGCAGAAACCCAAGAGGGCUGGAGCCAAUCCAUAACUCAGGCACGUGGCCACAUCUAACAGCAAGGGAGUCUGGAAAACACAGUUCAGCUGUGUGAAGGAUAUUUAUAAACAUUUAGCAAGAUCCAAAGGAAUGGACCAUAGCACAGCCCUGUUUUCUUUAGACGCUGACUCCUGCUGUCUACCAGAUCCUCGUGGUACAAUGACUGGUGUAGACUGGCUUGUUGAAGUCACUCUCUGGAUCUGAGCAACGCUGGCUGAGCCGUGAUGAAGUAUUCCUAUCCAUCCACUAUGCUUCACAGUGGGAAUCUCUCACUGUUCAUCACCGCUGCCCUAGCAGCCGCAGGGAUUCUUCACCCAUGGUUGCUUAGGUUUAUAAGCAAGGAAGCUGAAUGAAGUCCCUUUCCUCUCUGGAUGAGCCCCUGGGUUUCUGGAAGAGUCUUAAAAUCACCCCUAAAUGGCUUCCAAGCACUGAAGCCCGAGAUGUUAGCUGGCCUGUGUGAGGCCUUGAGACAGAAUGCCACAGCCACACCCCAAGGAUGCUGAAGGGGAUUUCCCUCCUCUGUGGUUUUUCUCCUUUCUUCCCGCAGCACUCCUCCUACGUGCUAACAUCUUCUAGUCAAACAACUCUCCUUUUCAAAGGGACCAGGCACAGUUUCUGCUUAUCCCUGAGUAGCAGUGUUCAGUUUCCUGCCAGCCUGUGGAGUUUUUCAAACAAGCCAAUCACCUCCUCCUGUGGGAACUGAGAAGCACCCCACCCUCUCGAUACUACAAAGCCCCUGCUUGUUCCCUAGUGCAACUCCCAUGUGGUCCUGUGGAGCAUAUGGUAUCUUCCUCUUCUGGGCAGUGAGCAUAUGUGACUAAUAAACUAUCUAUCUC
This 1803-nucleotide long non-coding RNA is filed under the name Homo sapiens (human). Its description in RNAcentral is "LRRC52 antisense RNA 1 (LRRC52-AS1)". Lineage: Eukaryota; Metazoa; Chordata; Mammalia; Primates; Hominidae. The record is from RNAcentral.